UACGGAGGGUGCAAGCGUUAUCCGGAUUUAUUGGGUUUAAAGGGUGCGUAGGCGGCCCGUUAAGUCAGUGGUGAAAGCCUCCAGCUCAACUGGAGAACUGCCAUUGAUACUGACGGGCUUGAGUACAGACGAGGUUGGCGGAAUUGAUUGUGUAGCGGUGAAAUGCAUAGAUACAAUCAAGAACUCCGAUUGCGUAGGCAGCUAACUAGGCUGUAACUGACGCUGAGGCACGAAAGCGUGGGGAGCGAACAGG
Molecule: ribosomal RNA, 253 nt
Filed under: uncultured bacterium
Lineage: Bacteria
Description: partial 16S ribosomal RNA
Rfam family: Bacterial small subunit ribosomal RNA
Source: RNAcentral